AGAGUUUGAUCAUGGCUCAGGAUGAACGCUAGCGACAGGCCUAACACAUGCAAGUCGAGGGGCAUCGGGACGUAGCAAUACGUUGCCGGCGACCGGCGGAUGGGUGAGUAACGCGUAUGCAACCUACCCGUAGCAGGGGGAUAGCCCGUUGAAAGACGGAUUAAUACCCCGUAACACAGGGGCUCCGCAUGGAGAUUAUUGUUAAAGGGUCAUUUCUUUUAGAGGUGGUCCGGCUACGGAUGGGCAUGCGUUCCAUUAGGUAGUUGGUGUAGGUAACGGCUCACCAAGCCGACGAUGGAUAGGGGAACUGAGAGGUUGGUCCCCCACACUGGUACUGAGACACGGACCAGACUCCUACGGGAGGCAGCAGUGAGGAAUCUUGGUCAAUGGACGCAAGUCUGAACCAGCCAUGUCGCGUGAAGGAGGACGGCCCUAAGGGUUGUAAACUUCUUUUGCAGCGGAAUAAAGUUUGCCACGAGUUGGCGAUUUGCAAGUACGCUGCGAAUAAGGAUCGGCUAACUCCGUGCCAGCAGCCGCGGUAAUACGGAGGAUCCGGGCGUUAUCCGGAUUUAUUGGGUUUAAAGGGUGCGCAGGCGGGGAUUUAGGUCGGCGGUGAAAUUUCGGGGCUCAACCUCGAUAGUGCCGUUGAAACCGUUUCUCUUGAGUGCGGAUGAGGUAGGCGGAAUUUGUGGUGUAGCGGUGAAAUGCGUAGAUAUCACAAGGAACACCGAUUGCGGAGGCAGCUUACUAAACCGUUACUGACGCUCAUGCACGAAGGCGUGGGGAUCAAACAGGAUUAGAUACCCUGUAGUCCACGCAGUAAACGAUGAUUACUUGCUGUUUGCGAUACACAGUAAGCGGCGAAGCGAAAGCGUUAAGUAAUCCACCUGGGGAGUACGUUCGCAAGAAUGAAACUCAAAGGAAUUGACGGGGCCCGCACAAGCGGA
Molecule: ribosomal RNA, 947 nt
Filed under: uncultured bacterium
Lineage: Bacteria
Description: bacterial SSU rRNA
Rfam family: Bacterial small subunit ribosomal RNA
Source: RNAcentral